AGUAGGAUAGCUGAGUCAAAUGGUGUUUCCAUUCCAAGUUUUCUGAGGAAUCUCCACACUGUUUUCCAAAGUGGUUGCACCAAUUUGCAGUCUUACCAGCAAU
This 103-nucleotide microRNA precursor is filed under the name Marmota monax (woodchuck). Lineage: Eukaryota; Metazoa; Chordata; Mammalia; Rodentia; Sciuridae. The record is from RNAcentral.